CCUACGGGAGGCAGCAGUGGGGAAUAUUGGACAAUGGGCGAAAGCCUGAUCCAGCCAUGCCGCGUGAGUGAUGAAGGCCCUAGGGUUGUAAAGCUCUUUUGUGCGGGAAGAUAAUGACGGUACCGCAAGAAUAAGCCCCGGCU
This 143-nucleotide ribosomal RNA is filed under the name uncultured bacterium. RNAcentral's name for it is "partial 16S ribosomal RNA". It matches the Rfam family "Bacterial small subunit ribosomal RNA", at positions 338 to 498 of the family's 1533-position model. The record is from RNAcentral.